CGACGAUUACUCCUACGGGAGGCAGCAGUGGGGAAUUUUGGACAAUGGGCGAAAGCCUGAUCCAGCAAUGCCGCGUGUGUGAAGAAGGCCUUCGGGUUGUAAAGCACUUUUGUCCGGAAAGAAAUGGCUCUGGUUAAUACCUGGGGUCGAUGACGGUACCGGAAGAAUAAGGACCGGCUAACUACGUGCCAGCAGCCGCGGUAA
Molecule: ribosomal RNA, 204 nt
Filed under: uncultured Ralstonia sp.
Lineage: Bacteria; Pseudomonadati; Pseudomonadota; Betaproteobacteria; Burkholderiales; Burkholderiaceae
Description: partial 16S ribosomal RNA
Rfam family: Bacterial small subunit ribosomal RNA
Source: RNAcentral